RNAcentral lists this non-coding RNA (27 nucleotides) under Rattus norvegicus (Norway rat). The record is from RNAcentral. Lineage: Eukaryota; Metazoa; Chordata; Mammalia; Rodentia; Muridae.
GAGCCUGUCAGAUGAGUAACACUGGUC